This 1142-nucleotide ribosomal RNA is filed under the name human gut metagenome. RNAcentral describes it as "bacterial SSU rRNA". It matches the Rfam family "Bacterial small subunit ribosomal RNA", at positions 368 to 1520 of the family's 1533-position model. The record is from RNAcentral.
UCAAUGGCCGAGAGGCUGAACCAGCCAAGUCGCGUGAAGGAAGAAGGAUCUAUGGUUUGUAAACUUCUUUUAUAGGGGAAUAAAGUGGAGGACGUGUCCUUUUUUGUAUGUACCCUAUGAAUAAGCAUCGGCUAACUCCGUGCCAGCAGCCGCGGUAAUACGGAGGAUGCGAGCGUUAUCCGGAUUUAUUGGGUUUAAAGGGUGCGUAGGUGGUGAUUUAAGUCAGCGGUGAAAGUUUGUGGCUCAACCAUAAAAUUGCCGUUGAAACUGGGUUACUUGAGUGUGUUUGAGGUAGGCGGAAUGCGUGGUGUAGCGGUGAAAUGCAUAGAUAUCACGCAGAACUCCGAUUGCGAAGGCAGCUUACUAAACCAUAACUGACACUGAAGCACGAAAGCGUGGGGAUCAAACAGGAUUAGAUACCCUGGUAGUCCACGCAGUAAACGAUGAUUACUAGGAGUUUGCGAUACAAUGUAAGCUCUACAGCGAAAGCGUUAAGUAAUCCACCUGGGGAGUACGCCGGCAACGGUGAAACUCAAAGGAAUUGACGGGGGCCCGCACAAGCGGAGGAACAUGUGGUUUAAUUCGAUGAUACGCGAGGAACCUUACCCGGGUUUGAACGUAGUCUGACCGGAGUGGAAACACUCCUUCUAGCAAUAGCAGAUUACGAGGUGCUGCAUGGUUGUCGUCAGCUCGUGCCGUGAGGUGUCGGCUUAAGUGCCAUAACGAGCGCAACCCUUAUCACUAGUUACUAACAGGUGAAGCUGAGGACUCUGGUGAGACUGCCAGCGUAAGCUGUGAGGAAGGUGGGGAUGACGUCAAAUCAGCACGGCCCUUACAUCCGGGGCGACACACGUGUUACAAUGGCAUGGACAAAGGGCAGCUACCUGGCGACAGGAUGCUAAUCUCCAAACCAUGUCUCAGUUCGGAUCGGAGUCUGCAACUCGACUCCGUGAAGCUGGAUUCGCUAGUAAUCGCGCAUCAGCCAUGGCGCGGUGAAUACGUUCCCGGGCCUUGUACACACCGCCCGUCAAGCCAUGGGAGCCGGGGGUACCUGAAGUCCGUAACCGCAAGGAUCGGCCUAGGGUAAAACUGGUGACUGGGGCUAAGUCGUAACAAGGUAGCCGUACCGGAAGGUGCGGCUG